Molecule: ribosomal RNA, 448 nt
Filed under: uncultured Gammaproteobacteria bacterium
Lineage: Bacteria; Pseudomonadati; Pseudomonadota; Gammaproteobacteria
Description: bacterial SSU rRNA
Rfam family: Bacterial small subunit ribosomal RNA
Source: RNAcentral
UGGGUUAGUCCGCACGAGCGCACCUUGUCACUAGUUGCUACGUAAGGGCACUCUAGUGAGACUGCCGGUGACAAACCGGAGGAAGGUGGGGAUGACGUCAAGUCCUCAUGGCCCUUAUGGGUAGGGCUUCACACGUCAUACAAUGGUUGGUACAGAGGGUUGCUAACCCGCGAGGGGGAGCCAAUCCCUUAAAACCAAUCGUAGUCCGGAUUGUAGUCUGCAACUCGACUGCAUGAAGUCGGAAUCGCUAGUAAUCGCGGAUCAGAAUGCCGCGGUGAAUACGUUCCCGGGUCUUGUACACACCGCCCGUCACACCAUGGGAGCGGGUUUUACCAGAAGUAGCUAGCUUAACCGUAAGGAAAGCGGUUACCACGGUAGGAUUCGUGACUGGGGUGAAGUCGUAACAAGGUAGCCGUAUCGGAAGGUGCGGCUGGAUCACCUCCUUUCU